Molecule: ribosomal RNA, 2201 nt
Filed under: Escherichia coli
Lineage: Bacteria; Pseudomonadati; Pseudomonadota; Gammaproteobacteria; Enterobacterales; Enterobacteriaceae
Description: partial 23S ribosomal RNA
Rfam family: Bacterial large subunit ribosomal RNA
Source: RNAcentral
GGUUAAGCGACUAAGCGUACACGGUGGAUGCCCUGGCAGUCAGAGGCGAUGAAGGACGUGCUAAUCUGCGAUAAGCGUCGGUAAGGUGAUAUGAACCGUUAUAACCGGCGAUUUCCGAAUGGGGAAACCCAGUGUGAUUCGUCACACUAUCAUUAACUGAAUCCAUAGGUUAAUGAGGCGAACCGGGGGAACUGAAACAUCUAAGUACCCCGAGGAAAAGAAAUCAACCGAGAUUCCCCCAGUAGCGGCGAGCGAACGGGGAGCAGCCCAGAGCCUGAAUCAGUGUGUGUGUUAGUGGAAGCGUCUGGAAAGGCGUGCGAUACAGGGUGACAGCCCCGUACACAAAAAUGCACAUGCUGUGAGCUCGAUGAGUAGGGCGGGACACGUGGUAUCCUGUCUGAAUAUGGGGGGACCAUCCUCCAAGGCUAAAUACUCCUGACUGACCGAUAGUGAACCAGUACCGUGAGGGAAAGGCGAAAAGAACCCCGGCGAGGGGAGUGAAAAAGAACCUGAAACCGUGUACGUACAAGCAGUGGGAGCACGCUUAGGCGUGUGACUGCGUACCUUUUGUAUAAUGGGUCAGCGACUUAUAUUCUGUAGCAAGGUUAACCGAAUAGGGGAGCCGAAGGGAAACCGAGUCUUAACUGGGCGUUAAGUUGCAGGGUAUAGACCCGAAACCCGGUGAUCUAGCCAUGGGCAGGUUGAAGGUUGGGUAACACUAACUGGAGGACCGAACCGACUAAUGUUGAAAAAUUAGCGGAUGACUUGUGGCUGGGGGUGAAAGGCCAAUCAAACCGGGAGAUAGCUGGUUCUCCCCGAAAGCUAUUUAGGUAGCGCCUCGUGAAUUCAUCUCCGGGGGUAGAGCACUGUUUCGGCAAGGGGGUCAUCCCGACUUACCAACCCGAUGCAAACUGCGAAUACCGGAGAAUGUUAUCACGGGAGACACACGGCGGGUGCUAACGUCCGUCGUGAAGAGGGAAACAACCCAGACCGCCAGCUAAGGUCCCAAAGUCAUGGUUAAGUGGGAAACGAUGUGGGAAGGCCCAGACAGCCAGGAUGUUGGCUUAGAAGCAGCCAUCAUUUAAAGAAAGCGUAAUAGCUCACUGGUCGAGUCGGCCUGCGCGGAAGAUGUAACGGGGCUAAACCAUGCACCGAAGCUGCGGCAGCGACGCUGAUGCGUUGUUGGGUAGGGGAGCGUUCUGUAAGCCUGCGAAGGUGUGCUGUGAGGCAUGCUGGAGGUAUCAGAAGUGCGAAUGCUGACAUAAGUAACGAUAAAGCGGGUGAAAAGCCCGCUCGCCGGAAGACCAAGGGUUCCUGUCCAACGUUAAUCGGGGCAGGGUGAGUCGACCCCUAAGGCGAGGCCGAAAGGCGUAGUCGAUGGGAAACAGGUUAAUAUUCCUGUACUUGGUGUUACUGCGAAGGGGGGACGGAGAAGGCUAUGUUGGCCGGGCGACGGUUGUCCCGGUUUAAGCGUGUAGGCUGGUUUUCCAGGCAAAUCCGGAAAAUCAAGGCUGAGGCGUGAUGACGAGGCACUACGGUGCUGAAGCAACAAAUGCCCUGCUUCCAGGAAAAGCCUCUAAGCAUCAGGUAACAUCAAAUCGUACCCCAAACCGACACAGGUGGUCAGGUAGAGAAUACCAAGGCGCUUGAGAGAACUCGGGUGAAGGAACUAGGCAAAAUGGUGCCGUAACUUCGGGAGAAGGCACGCUGAUAUGUAGGUGAAGCGACUUGCUCGUGGAGCUGAAAUCAGUCGAAGAUACCAGCUGGCUGCAACUGUUUAUUAAAAACACAGCACUGUGCAAACACGAAAGUGGACGUAUACGGUGUGACGCCUGCCCGGUGCCGGAAGGUUAAUUGAUGGGGUCAGCGCAAGCGAAGCUCUUGAUCGAAGCCCCGGUAAACGGCGGCCGUAACUAUAACGGUCCUAAGGUAGCGAAAUUCCUUGUCGGGUAAGUUCCGACCUGCACGAAUGGCGUAAUGAUGGCCAGGCUGUCUCCACCCGAGACUCAGUGAAAUUGAACUCGCUGUGAAGAUGCAGUGUACCCGCGGCAAGACGGAAAGACCCCGUGAACCUUUACUAUAGCUUGACACUGAACAUUGAGCCUUGAUGUGUAGGAUAGGUGGGAGGCUUUGAAGUGUGGACGCCAGUCUGCAUGGAGCCGACCUUGAAAUACCACCCUUUAAUGUUUGAUGUUCUAACG